Molecule: long non-coding RNA, 1105 nt
Organism: Oncorhynchus nerka (sockeye salmon)
Lineage: Eukaryota; Metazoa; Chordata; Actinopteri; Salmoniformes; Salmonidae
Exons: 3
Source: RefSeq, a predicted model, not a curated record
CGUCACACCAUGAGAAAGUAGAAAGAAACAGAGAUGUUGUAAAGCGGAUUAUCGACACCACUGCCUUUUUGGGCAUGCAAUGAUUGGCUUUUAGAGGACACGAUGGAAGGGAAAGUUCCGCUAACAAGGGCAACUACAAUGAGAUUGCGGAGUUUGACCCCACUGCUGUCCCUGGCUCCACACACAUCCUGCCCGGCCAUCUAGAUGUGUGAAGGUAGGUGUCUUUUCUGUAGGGAAGCUAAUGAUCCAUCAUGUAUGACAUUCCUGGGAGCUUGUAAACAUAAAUGUUUUUAUUACCAUAUCAUUUUUGUAUGUUCUCUAUAUUUAUGUACUUGAAAAUGUUUAAUUUGACCAAUUCAGAACAUUUGGGCAAACUCCUGGCAGAUGUAAUUCUUCACUGGAUCAGUCUGAACCUUUGCACACAUACUGCUGCCAUCUUGUGGACAACAUCUAAAUUCACACUCAUAAUCCUAUAUCAAUGGAUGGCCUUUCCCUUGCAUUUCAAAAUGAUUGUAAUUAAAUUAUCUUUUUCCAGAUCUAAUGUGUUAUAUUUUCCUACAUUAAUUUCAAAUUUCCACAGACUUCCAUAAACUUCAAAGUGUUUCCUUUCAAAUGGUAUCAAGAAUAUGCAUAUCCUUGGUUCAGGUUCUGAGCUACAGGCAGUUAGAUUUGGGAAUGUCAUUUUAGGCAGAAAUUGGAAAAAAGGGUCUGCUCCUUAUGAAGAGAUGAUGACCACUCAGCUACUGUUGUCAUCUCUCUCCGGACAUGAACUGAAGCCACGUUUCAUUUGCCCGCUCAUUCACUGGCAAGUUGAAUGUUUCCUGUCCAAGCACUUCAAAUCCUGUCCUGCCCUCAGUGGAAGAGUUGAGCUCUCUCCAAACACCAUCCAUCCAUCCAUGAUGAGCCUGUCCUGCACUAAAGUCUAUGAACACCUCAACCCCCGUCCUUCACUGAAGUCGAACCUCUGAACACCUCAACUCAUGCCUCACACCCUCAUUCAAUCACUGCUGUGAUCCCUUCCCAACACUGUAAUUAGCGCUCUCAUUCCCAUUCCCCAUAAUACUGUGCUAUAAAUGCCUUUAUUAAAUGCUUGAGGUUAAAAUAA